CAGAGAGAGACAUGCGCGCAUAUCAAUAAGCGGAGGAAAAGAAACUAACAAGGAUUCCCUUAGUAACGGCGAGUGAAGCGGGAAGAGCUCAAAUUUGAAAUCUUCAAGGUUCUACCUUGACGAAUUGUAGUUUAUAGAAGUGUUUUCUGUUAGUGGAGUGGCAAAAGUUCUUUGGAAUAGGACAUCAUAGAGGGUGAGAAUCCCGUAUUUGGUCAUUCCUCCUAGCGUUGUGAUACACUUUCAACGAGUCGGAUUGUUUGGGAAUGCAGUCCAAAAUGGGUGGUAAAUUUCAUCUAAAGCUAAAUAUUGGCGAGAGACCGAUAGCGAACAAGUACCGUGAGGGAAAGAUGAAAAGAACUUUGAAAAGAGAGUUAAACAGUACGUGAAAUUGUCAAAAGGGAAGCGUUUGACACCAGUGUUGUUUUUCCGAAAAUCAAUUACGAAUGUUUUAGUUUUUGAGGAGUUAUGACUUCAUCGGCUUGCUCCUUUCUUUAUGAAACUUUCUUAAUGCACUUUUCGGUUAACAAGUCAACAUCAAUUUCUUUUGUUGUAAAAGGGUAUGAGGAAGGUGGCUUUCUUUUCGGAGAAAGUGUUUAUAGCCUUGUGCCUCUGCAAUCGGAGAGAUUGAGGUCUGCAGCGUAGAUCCUUCGGGGUUAGAUACAGUUUGUGCUAAGUUAUAGCUUUUCAUAGACAACUUGUUGACUAUGUUUAGUCUUGUAGCUUACUCGCUUAUGCUAUUUUACCUACGCUUAGGAUGUUGAUAGUCACAGCGUGUAC
RNAcentral lists this ribosomal RNA (777 nucleotides) under uncultured Neocallimastigales. Its description in RNAcentral is "partial large subunit ribosomal RNA". It matches the Rfam family "Eukaryotic large subunit ribosomal RNA", at positions 23 to 644 of the family's 3401-position model. The record is from RNAcentral. Lineage: Eukaryota; Fungi; Neocallimastigomycota; Neocallimastigomycetes; Neocallimastigales.